This 440-nucleotide ribosomal RNA is filed under the name uncultured bacterium. RNAcentral describes it as "partial 16S ribosomal RNA". It matches the Rfam family "Bacterial small subunit ribosomal RNA", at positions 338 to 795 of the family's 1533-position model. The record is from RNAcentral.
CCUACGGGUGGCAGCAGUGGGGAAUAUUGCACAAUGGGGGGAACCCUGAUGCAGCAACGCCGCGUGGGUGAAGAAGUACUUCGGUAUGUAAAGCCCUGUCAGCAUGGAAGAAAAUGACGGUACGUGACCGAGAAGCUCCGUCUAACUACGUUCCAGCAGCUGCGGUAAUAAGUAGGGGGCAGGGGUUAUCCGGAUUUACUGGGUGUAAUGGGAGCGUAGGCGGCAAGGUAAGUCAGGAGUGAAAGUCCGUGGCUCAACCGGAGGACUGCAUUGGAAACUGGGUGGCUGGAGUGCAGGAGGGGUAAGCGGAAUUCCUAGUGUAGCGGUGAAAUGCGUAGAUAUUAGGAGGAACACCGGUGGCGAAGGCGGCUUACUGGACUGUAACUGACGCUGAGGCUCGAAGGCGUGGGGAGCAAACAGGAUUAGAUACCCCUGUAGUC